ACCUGGGUGGCUCAGUGGUUGAGCAUCUGCCUUCGGAUCAGGACGUGAUCCCGAGUCCUGGGAUCAAGUCCCACAUCAGGUU
Molecule: transfer RNA, 82 nt
Filed under: Canis lupus familiaris (dog)
Lineage: Eukaryota; Metazoa; Chordata; Mammalia; Carnivora; Canidae
Also listed under: 2 other names
Rfam family: tRNA
About the family: Transfer RNA (tRNA) molecules are approximately 80 nucleotides in length. Their secondary structure includes four short double-helical elements and three loops (D, anti-codon, and T loops).
Source: Rfam by way of RNAcentral